CGCCCAAUAGCUAGCCCACUCAUUAACCCCAAAUUCCUCCUCAUUUAUACCCCCAAAUGCACCACUUUCCAAAAACAAACCAUUUUUCCUCCCUAGUACGGGUGACGGAAAAGGACCUAGGAGCAAUAGAGAAAGUACCGCAAGGGAAAGCUGAAAGAGUAAUGAAAUAACCCAGUAAAGCACUAAAAAGCAGAGACACCCCCUCGUACCUUUUGCAUCAUGAUUUAGCCAGAAUAUCUUAAGCAAAAAGCAUUAUAGUUUAAUACCCCGAAACUAGACGAGCUACUCCAAGACAGUCUAAUUUAUAGGACCCCCCCGUCUCUGUGGCAAAAGAGUGGGAAGAGCUUUGAGUAGAGGUGACAGACCUACCGAGCCUAGUUAUAGCUGGUUGCCUGAGAACUGAAUAGAAGUUCAGCCCUUUAAAUUCUCCACCCCCAUCAGCCCUAGGCCUCCUCACCGAGCAAAAGAAAUUAAAGGAGUUAGUCGAAGGGGGUACAGCCCCUUUGAAACAAGACACAACUUUCCAAGGAGGGAAAAGAUCACAACGAACUUAAAGGUCUAGUGCCCUAGUGGGCCUAAAAGCAGCCACCUACUCAGAAAGCGUUAAAGCUCGAGCAUUGCACAACCAACCUUCCAAUAAAGACAACACCAUCUCACCCCCCUUAAACCUACCAGGCCAUUCCAUAAAAAUAUGGAAGCGUACAUGCUAAUAUGAGUAAUAAGAGAAAAUCCCUUCUCUCCCUGCACAAGUGUAUGUCGGAACGAACCCCUCACCGACCAUUAACGGCCCCAAAACAAAGAGGGUACUAGACAAAUAAACAAACAACUAGAAAACCACCUAACAUCUCACCGUUAACCCCACACUGGUGUGCAAACCAGGAAAGACUAAAAGAAAAAGAAGGAACUCGGCAAACAAAAGCCUCGCCUGUUUACCAAAAACAUCGCCUCUUGUCCCUUAGAAAAUAAGAGGUCCCGCCUGCCCUGUGACUAUA
This 992-nucleotide ribosomal RNA is filed under the name Pterochromis congicus. Its description in RNAcentral is "partial 16S ribosomal RNA". The stretch from base 188 to 992 matches the Rfam family "Bacterial large subunit ribosomal RNA", at positions 568 to 1874 of the family's 2925-position model. Lineage: Eukaryota; Metazoa; Chordata; Actinopteri; Cichliformes; Cichlidae. The record is from RNAcentral.